UUAAGCUUUAAAGUAAUCCGUUAUUGAAUUUGUUUAAAGAGUAGAGAUAAGCAGUUCGAAAAUUUCCCAAAAUUUGUUAAUAUUCCUUUUAAAUACAUCAUUAAGUACUAUAAAUUAAACGAGACAGCCAUUAACAGCUACAGAUUAAGAACUUCUGUACCACACUUUCACUCUCCAUCUUUAAAGAUCAAAAUAAUAAAAGGGUACUGAUAUAACAGAAAUGGAUUCUUUAUGGCUGAUAAGGAAUGUAGAUUAAUGAUCACCUCCUUAACGGAAUCGCAUAAAAUAUUUUUGUGUAAAAAAAAAGAUAAAAAAAGUUGCCUAUAUAUAGAUUAUAAAACUUCGAAAAUUUCAUCUGAAAUUUAGAUAAAUGAUGUGAAAACUGAGAAGAAUGUGUAACACAACUUGCUAGUUCGACCUUUCAACUUUACAGUCGAGGAUACGGCUGGAUUUUACGUCCUCUGGCUAUUUUUAUUUUCAAGAAUCAUGCUAAAAACUGUCGUAAUGUUGUUAUUGCUCAGAUAGGAGUCUUAGAU
Long non-coding RNA from Centruroides sculpturatus (bark scorpion), 536 nucleotides. RefSeq lists it as uncharacterized. The transcript has 3 exons. NCBI's taxonomy places the organism in Eukaryota, Metazoa, Arthropoda, Arachnida, Scorpiones, Buthidae. The record is from RefSeq and is a predicted model, not a curated record.